AGGAUGUCGUAGAUGAAGAGAGUAGUCCUUCUUCAGAAGGGAAGCGAGCUAGGGAUGGUGUGAGCCUAGUACGGAGAAGAGGAUGAAGCGCACUUCGGAGACGCUGCUUGAAGCGAAUAGUAGGGUAAGCCGGGGUUCCCUGUCCUCGUUAUAAACGGGAAAGUGGUUCAAAUUGAACAACAAGGGUGGUACCACGGGUGAUAACUCGUCUCUUUU
This 216-nucleotide non-coding RNA is filed under the name Bacillus cereus. RNAcentral's name for it is "T-box sequence". It matches the Rfam family "T-box leader". Rfam says of the family: Uncharged tRNA acts as the effector for transcription antitermination of genes in the T-box leader family. The record is from RNAcentral. Lineage: Bacteria; Bacillati; Bacillota; Bacilli; Caryophanales; Bacillaceae.